RNAcentral lists this ribosomal RNA (571 nucleotides) under Alexandrium margalefii. RNAcentral's name for it is "partial Bacterial large subunit ribosomal RNA". It matches the Rfam family "Bacterial large subunit ribosomal RNA", at positions 1136 to 1723 of the family's 2925-position model. The record is from RNAcentral. Lineage: Eukaryota; Dinophyceae; Gonyaulacales; Pyrocystaceae.
AACAGCUCACUGGUCUAAAUAAGUUGUCUUGCGGCGAAGAUGUAACGGGGCUCAAGCCAUGAGCCGAAGCUUAGGAUGCCGUAAGGCAUGGUAGCGGAGCGUAGUGUGAUAUAGGACUUAUCCUUUACUGCCGCCGGUCGUACGGAGCGUGGAAACACGCUCAAGUAGCCGAUAGGCGGUAGCGCAGGAGAAAGUCUUUUCUGUGAAGCCGGCCUGUGAGGGAUCCGGUGGAGAGAUCACUAGCGAGAAUGAUGACAUGAGUAGCGACAAAGAGUGUGAGAGACACUCUCGCCGAAAGUCCAAGGGUUCCUGCUUAAAGCUAAUCUGAGCAGGGUAAGCCGGCCCCUAAGCCGAGGCCGAAAGGCGUAGGCGAUGGGAACCACGUUAAUAUUCGUGGGCCAGAUGGAAGUGACGGAUCUCGAAGAUUGUUCCUCCUUAUCGGAUUGGAGGGGCCGUUCAGAGGUUCCUGGAAAUAGCUCCAUCAUCAGACCGUACCCUAAACCGACACAGGUGGACUGGUAGAGAAUACCAAGGCGCUUGAGAGAACGAUGUUGAAGGAACUCGGCAAAAU